Non-coding RNA from Morchella snyderi, 84 nucleotides. NCBI's taxonomy places the organism in Eukaryota, Fungi, Ascomycota, Pezizomycetes, Pezizales, Morchellaceae. The record is from the annotation of a GenBank genome assembly.
GCUUUGUUAGUAUAGUGGUCUAUGCACCUGGUUAGGAAACUUACGCCGACAGCAGGUUACUGGGUUCGAUUCCCUAGCAAAGCA